UGCAUUUUUGGCGCUUCCAAAUUCGAGUUCGCCUCACCCUAUUAUUGUUCACCACAAUUAAAAAUUAAAUGAUGUAUAAAAUAUGUCACACCCAUGCCACACCGUUUCAUAAUUUGAUUAGGCUUGUGACUAAUUCGUAUCACCACUUUAUACCCAUGUUCUUUCUGCUAGUCUCAGCUACACUUUUAUUACCUGAAAGGGGUGGUGAAAUAAAAGGGUGAGCACAAAUAGCCCAAUAAAGAAUAUCAUGACUUAAGAUAAUUAAAUUAUCAAAAUAAUUCAGAUAUUUAGAACAUAUGGUACAAGAUAAAAGUUUUCAACCAUAAUAGCAGCGGAAUCAACAAUCUAUUAGAGAUUCAAGUAGAACAUAAUGUCUACUAACUCCUCUAGAUUAAAAGUCCGUCAUUAAUAUUUCAUUCCUGUAAUACUCAUCAACAGUUCUUUGUUAUACCCAAGACAAAGAGAACUCUCAUCACCUGUCUUCACUUGAACCACCAAAAAUUAUAAUUAAAUUCACAAUUCAUAUUUAUAAUAAGGUAAAUCAAUAGUCCAUCUUUGCAAUACGAGCCUAAGACAUACAACUGUAAAACCAAUAGCGCUAAGACUCAACUUAAUAGUAUCACAACCACGAAUUAUCCAUGCACUACGGGCCAAAGAUAUUCGUGUUUUCACCAAUGAUCAUGAUUAUAUCGAAUAAUCCCUGAUCAUAAUCAUACCAAUCAACUGUCCAUCUUUGCACAACUGGCCAAAGAUGACUUUCAACACAAUAUAAGCAUGAGAAUGAUGACAAUGAUAUAUAUAAUGAAUAAACAUAAAUAAUCAGAAUAAUAAGAUAAAAUAGAUCUUAGUGGUUUUCAACUUAAUUAUCCAGAGUCCAAAUUGCUAACAUAAUAUUAGAUGAAGCACAAACUAUUAAGGAUAUUCUAAUUCUUUCAGGACUUUUCACCAUUUAAUGAUAAACUGAAUAAACGAAUAAUAAUAUCUUAUCAUAAUAUGGAGUAUGAAAGAAAAUGAUAUUCCUUUUACCAUAAAAAUGAUACCCCCUUGCCACAAUAAUGAUAUCCCUUACCUUAGCAUGUGACUUGAUUAUGCUUUCUGUGAAAUUGAUCAACUUAAACAAUGCUUGCAUUCCUUAUCUAUACUUGGAGUAACAUUACACUCAAUAGAAAUACUCACAAUAUUGUAGUAAAAGAAUUUUAUAUUUUUAGUGUAGUGAUGGUGUGUGUUUAGUUACUCAAUCGAGCAACCUAUUUAUACUGAAAAUUUAGUAAACAACUAGCACACCUGCUUUGACAAAAUAAUCAAAUGAGGUAUUUAAUAAUGGUAGUGGAAUUUAUGGUCCCACCAAAGAAAUUAAACUAGCUUGUACACGUUUUAAAAAUAAUUGAGUUGUGGUCCAGACUACUUUAGAAAAAAUAGAGUGUUGGCAAGUCCUGCCAAACUUACUUUUGUAAAAAAAAAAUAAUUGAACAAACAUCUGCAUAUCAUACUUAUAUUUAAUCAACACCAUUUUCAAUCUUUGAAUCAUUAUUCAUAAUUAUUAACAUACUCACAAUACUGCCAAUUGGUUUAAUUAUAUCAAAUAAUAUGAGUUACUGUGCAAUAACUACUGUGACAAUUAUUGAAUAAAAGACUAAGUGACUUCUUACGUAAGAAUCAAAUCAAUACCUUACUAAUUCUAUUAAAACUCGGGGUCAACACCAAAACAUAUUUACAUCAAAUAACAUAUAAACCAACUAAGAAUUCAUUAUUCAUUCAAGUUGUCUUUAUUUAUCGCAUAACAUCAUUAUUCAUCUUCCAAAACUUUAGAAGUGAAUAAUAAAACUUGAGAAAUCUAAAACCUCAUAUAUGACAAUCCACUAUUCUGAUAUUAUCACUAUUUUUACUUUAACAAAAAUAUUAUUUUUGUUUUUAUUAUAACUCAUUGGUUACUUGUGCAUUUACAUCCCGACACCUCAUGAGCUUACUAACACUUCUAAAAUAUUUAAAAUAGUAUUCUGAACUUUCUAAAUAAUUUUUACAUUUUUCGGAUUAUCCAACAAUUUUCUAUAAUUAUUUCUAUUUAUAAAAACUAUCAUUUAUUAGCUUCAAAAUAGAAAUACGAACUUCACAUACUUUUAUAUCUUUAAAACAUCAUCAAUAUUAAUAUUACAUUAUUAUAAUAUUUUUCAGCAAAAUUCAUAAUUUUUCACCAUUCAUAGAAUUUUCUAUGAAUUUCCUCUAUUUUUAAACUAACCAUAAAUAGCUUAAAAAUAUAAUAAAUAUUUCUGUUAUUCAAUAAUUUCUCAAAACUGUCCAGAAAUUAUAAAAUAAUAUUAUAAGAUUUUUCACAAACUUUCAUAAUUUUUCAUCAUUCAUAGAAUUUUCUAUGAAUUUCUUCUAUUUUAAACUAACUAUAAAUAGUUUAAAAAUAUAAUAAUUACUUCUGCUUUUCAAUAAUUCAUCAAAAUUUAUAGAAAUUCUAAGAUGAUAUAAUAAGGUUCCUGUAAAAAUAUUUCAGCCCAAAUAAUUUUUUUGAUAAAUUAAUUAUAAACUCCAAUAUUCAGAAAUUUCAAUAAUUCAUAAUAAUUAGCACUUUUAUCAGAAAAAUACAGAUCUUAUGUUCUUUCCAUGUAAAAUUUAAUUCUCUACAACUUUGUUGAAGAAAAUGUUUCCAAAUUCUGACUCUAACAUAGAGAGAAAGGCUUACCAAAAAUUCUGCUAUAAAAUUUCUGGAUCAGUCAUCUCCUUAAAUUCAUAACAAAUUAUAAAUCAAUCUUUAACGGUUCAAAAUUUGUGUACAUAUACUCAACUUAUAUAUGUAUAACAUAUCCAAAAAUCACAACAACCCAACGAUCGGAUUAAAAAGUAUAACUCACGCAAUAGAGGUUAUGAACACUGAUUUUUUGGACUAAAAAUCCUUCGGACCAGUUUCACUAAAACUGUCACCACAAAAAAUUCACAAAAUUUUUUUGGGUGAUUCAAAUUUUUGUGGUUAGCUUACUUCCAGGUCUUUCUUUUUAUAUAUGGCUCAUCUCCUAACUCAUUAUACACAAAUAGUUAUGGAUUUUACAAAAUCAUGUAGUAAACUAAUUUUCUGAAAAUCUCCAUAUUUUGUUCUUCUUUUGAUUUCUAGAUUUCUCUCAUUUGAUUCAUGUUUUUGCAAGUUUAAAUCAUUCAAUACAUACAUAAGUAUGUAAUCUUUACAUAAAAUCUAUAAAAACUUAAAUCUAAGAAUAAAUCAAAGAUUUUUAAACAUACCUUUGCUUUUAAUUUCUUCUUCAUUUAUUCCUUCUCUUUCUUCUUUUCUUCUCCUCUUUUUCUCUUUUUCUACUCUUCUUCUUUUGGUUUCCUCCACUGAGAGAAUGAGUG
Molecule: long non-coding RNA, 3351 nt
Filed under: Panax ginseng (ginseng)
Lineage: Eukaryota; Viridiplantae; Streptophyta; Magnoliopsida; Apiales; Araliaceae
Description: long non-coding RNA (PGIN_LNC001434)
Source: RNAcentral